AUCCUGGCUCAGGAUGAACGCUAGCGGCAGGCUUAACACAUGCAAGUCGAGGGGCAGCGCGUUGUAGCAAUACGAUGGCGGCGACCGGCGAAAGGGUGCGGAACACGUGAGCAACCUGCCCGUGACAGGGGGAUAAGCGCUGGAAACGGCGUCUAAUACCGCGUAACACCGACUGGGGCAUCCCGGUUGGUUGAAAGCUGAGGCAGUCACGGAUGGGCUCGCGGGACAUUAGGUAGACGGCGGGGUAACGGCCCACCGUGCCGACGAUGUCUAGGGGUUCUGAGAGGAAGGUCCCCCACACUGGAACUGAGACACGGUCCAGACUCCUACGGGAGGCAGCAGUGAGGAAUAUUGGUCAAUGGCCGGAAGGCUGAACCAGCCAUGCCGCGUGCAGGAAGGCGGUCCUAUGGAUUGUAAACUGCUUUUAUCAGGGAGCAAUAAGGCGUACGCGUACGCCGAUGAGAGUACCUGGAGAAUAAGCAUCGGCUAACUCCGUGCC
Molecule: ribosomal RNA, 499 nt
Filed under: uncultured organism
Description: SSU rRNA
Rfam family: Bacterial small subunit ribosomal RNA
Source: RNAcentral